Molecule: ribosomal RNA, 253 nt
Filed under: uncultured bacterium
Lineage: Bacteria
Description: partial 16S ribosomal RNA
Rfam family: Bacterial small subunit ribosomal RNA
Source: RNAcentral
UACGUAGGUGGCAAGCGUUGUCCGGAUUUAUUGGGUUUAAAGGGUGCGUAGGCGGUUUUUUAAGUCCGUGGUGAAAUACUUCAGCUCAACUGGAGAGGUGCCAUUGAUACUGGAAAACUUGAGUACUGAUGAGGUAGGUGGAAUGGACGGUGUAGCGGUGAAAUGCUUAGAUAUCGUCCAGAACACCGAUAGCGAAGGCAGCUUACUAAGGAGUAACCGACGCUGAGGCACGAAAGUGUGGGGAGCAAACAGG